Molecule: unclassified non-coding RNA, 431 nt
Filed under: Hevea brasiliensis (rubber tree)
Lineage: Eukaryota; Viridiplantae; Streptophyta; Magnoliopsida; Malpighiales; Euphorbiaceae
Source: RNAcentral
GAAGGAGAAAAAAAUUGAAGGGACUAAAAUAGCCUUAUAACUUCCUUUCCAAAGUCUAAUAUUUUGUCCUACUAAAAAAAAAUAAUAUAUCAGAAACGCCACAAAGAAGGGGAAAAACUUCACCAUCUGGGAAGGCAACAACGAUACAACAUAUUUUUUAGCCCACUGAAGGCUGCUUAAUGUUGAAGAAUCAGACAAACUGAUUAAGGUACUCAUCGACAGUAGUAUAUUUUACAUCUGGGUAAAGUUGUGAAGCUUCUACUCCAAAUGAUGGUUCAAUUUCAAAGUUUGUCUGACCUCCCUUGACAAAAACUGCAUGACUAAGUGCUAACUUCACGUUGCCUGGAGCAUUCUUCAGAAUUUGAUCUUCAGGAAUGUAAUUCCUUUCAAGGGUUUUGCCUAUCUUUUUCUCCCACAAGGACACAAGAUCA